AUGCCACAAAACGAUGUCGUCGUCACUUAAUUUUUUACGUUUUACCAGUAUAGCUGUUUUAUGCAUGAAUUAGGGAUUUUCACACAAAUUGGGGGAAAUUGAGGAUGCGCUAUCAAGAAGCCGAGGAGGAAAUUUACAGAGAAUUGAUUACUUUAUUCGGAUCUGAUCGAACCAGUUGGAAAAAGAACAAAAAAAUGUUGAAGAUUGCACAAAGAUUGAGGUUGUCGUUUUAGUCCGUGAAUAAUCGACCAGGGAGAAAUUGAGUUCCACUGCACUAACUACUAAGAAGAAUGGAAGCCGAGAAGGCGAGGAAGCUUCAGUUAGAAGGUCAGUUUUACUCUACAGGUAUCAUGUUAUGUAAAUUCUCAGAUGUGCAGAGGUAAAAUUCUCAAUUUGCUUGUUUAUUGAAUGAAAAUUCUUAGAUCAUUUGUUCCAUAGCAAAUUUUACAGGACAUAAUUACCAUUUGCUUCUAAACUUUAAUUUUGUAUAAUUGAGAAUCAUAAUCUAUUAUUCAUAAUGUCAAUAGUUCAC
Salvia hispanica is the source of this 532-nucleotide non-coding RNA. The record is from RefSeq and is a predicted model, not a curated record. Lineage: Eukaryota; Viridiplantae; Streptophyta; Magnoliopsida; Lamiales; Lamiaceae.